Molecule: RNA transcript, 5018 nt
Organism: Neofelis nebulosa (Clouded leopard)
Lineage: Eukaryota; Metazoa; Chordata; Mammalia; Carnivora; Felidae
Gene: SPTSSA
Gene name: serine palmitoyltransferase small subunit A
Exons: 2
Source: RefSeq, a predicted model, not a curated record
AAUCCAAAACGGGCUCCAGGCUCUGAGCUGUCAGCACAGAGCCCGACGCGGGGCUCGAACUCUCGGACCGCGAGAUUGUGACCUGAGCUGAAGUCGGACGCUUAACCGACUGAGCCACCCAGGCGACCCGAGAACAGGGAUUCUUUAAGGCAGAAGAAGUGGCAAGUGAAGUUGAGAAAGCAGGUUAGGGCCAUUUAUUAAUUUACCAGAUACUUCUGGGUGCAUACCUUGUACCAGAUGCUGGCUUAGGUGCUUGUGAUACAUCUGAGCAAAUGAGACAAAGAUCCCUUCCUUGUGGAACAUUUAUACUUGAAUUACAUAGUAUGCUAGGUGGUAAGCAUUGUGGAAGACAGAGAAGUAGGUCAGUGGGAUAAAUGUGCAGAUGGGAUGGAGUUGUUUCUAAAGAGGAUAUCAGGAGAGGCUUCCCUGAGCAGCAUUUGCAUAAAAACAUAAAGAAAGUGAUGGAGUUAGAGAGUAGAAAUCUAAGGGAAGAACAUAGCUGGCAGAGGGAACAGCCAGGGCAAGUCCCUGAGUCCAGAGCCUGCCUGGCACAUAUGAAGGCCAUCACCGAGGCAGGUGUGGCUGGAGCAGAGUGACCACGGGGGAGAGGGCAGAGUCCAUGGAGAUCCUGGAGGUCAUGGUAAGGAUUUUGGCUUUUAAUCUUAGUUGAAAAGGAUGCUCUUAGAAGGUUUUUGAGAGGAGUGAUCCAGUCUAAGUUUGAAAAGGUUUACUUUAGCUACAGGGUUUGGGAAAGAUUAAGGGCCAUGAGGGGAGGCAGGGGUAGAAGCAAAGGUAGGUAUUUUGGAUUGGGGUAGGCUUUGCAUGAUAAUGAAAAAGAGAGCAUUAAAAAUUUAAAGGUGUAUGCUGUGUCAGUAGCAGCUAAGUUAAUUUAUUUUUGUAGAUUUUUGCUGUAUCCUCAAAUGCUAACAGCUAGAAUUGAGAAGAAUUUUUCUUUGCAUCUCAAUAUACUAAAGUAUUUGAGAGUUUAGAAAAUAUGAAUUUUUAAAUUGUAAAUAAAAAUAGAUCAUACAUCCUCAUGGUUCAGAACUCAAAAGGCACCAAAAAGGUAGGUGGUAAAAGUCUUCUUUCCACCCAGCCACCUCAGGACAACCCAUGUUACCAGUUUCCUGUGUAUCUCUCCUGAAGUAUUCUGUGAAAACCUGGAAAAUGCACUUAAGCUGUUUUUAAUAGCGCCUGGUUUGGUAAAAUCAAGGUUUUUAUAAGCCAGGAGAGAGGUGUUUGAGGUGUAUAUUUUGCCUUGCCAUUUUUGGAGUCACUAAUAAUUAAGUUAGUAUUUUUUUCUGUGUAUUUCCUCUGUAACAUAUUUUUGUAAAUAAACACAACAAACAAAACAAAAUUGACCAAGAAACACUGUAUUUUGGCCGGGGGGAGCUUUAGCUCAGUGUCUCUGUCUUUGGCAGAGCUUCCUCUGAGCUAUUCAAUAGAAGGUAUUAUCAUUAAAACCCCAAUUCACCAGGGUCUUCUACUAGAACUUUCUUCUUAAUGAGUACCUCUUUUGAAGAAAAUGUUUGUAUGUACAAAAUCCUUUGAUACUUUAAAUAGAGUUCCAGUAAAAAUCAGCAUGUGGUUUGAUGAUUAGGCAAAAAAAGUAUAUUUUUUUAAUGUUUAUUUGUUUUUGAAAGAGAAAGACCAUGAGUGGGGGAGGGGCACAGUGGGAGAGGGGGACUGAGGAUCCAAAGUAGGCUCUGUGCUGACUGCAGAGAGACCGAUUCAGGGCUUGAGCUUAUGAACUGAGAGAUCAUGGUCUGAGCAGAAGUCGGACACUUAACUGACUGAGCCACCUAGGCAAAACUGUUAAUAUCAGAGAAAGUUACUUCUAGAAAGAUAUUUAGUAAAUCAGUUUAAUGCCUUUUAGAAAGAUUUAUCAAGGUGUCUUCAAACAAAAUGUGAUUUCAGAAUAAUGUUGAAAUAGCCCAAACAUAGCCUUCAGACUUAAGAAGAAAAAGAAUUUCUUCCCACUAGUCUUCAGUCUUUUACAUUUCAUGCCAUUUUCUUUUGAGAUUCCUUUUGUAGAAAUGAAUGCAGCUCUCUCUUACAAGGGAGGGCUGAAGAGGGGGAAGCAGAGGUAAGAAUAGUUGUAACUGAUAAAUUAAUGCUUCCAAGCCUCCACCCCAGUGGUAUUUAGACUUUUUGUGUAGCCCCUACAAGAACAAAAAGUAAUGGGUAUUAUCUUGUUCAUUUAAGUUGACUUUUGAAACAUUUCAUAGUAAAUUAAAACAGUUACAAUGGAUUUAAUUCCUUGCUUUUCAUAUGUAUUUUAUUAUUUUAUGUGUAUUAGAAAGUGCAAGUAGGGGAGAGAGGUAGAGAAUCCUAAGCAAGUUCCAUGCUCAGCAUGAAGCCUGAUGUGGGGCUUGAUCCCAUGACCCUGGGAUCGUGACCUGAGUCAAAAUCAAGAGUCAGACGCUCAACUGACUGAGCCACCCAGGUGCCCCUAUGAUUGUAUAUUUUUGUUAAAACCUUAAAACUAUAUUUUUUCUUGUAUAAUUCAUAGAAAAUGUUUAUCGCAUAACCUAUUUGGAAACACCAGUCCUUAUUGUGAAGCUAAAUAGGCAAAAUCAACCUUAAUUUCUGUCAGAAAAAGCUCAGUGCCAUUUUUCUGCUCAAGCAAUUGUUACAUAAACACUUUUACCCCUCUUGCCUUUUUUUUUAAUUUUAUGACUUUAUUUGACAACCAGUGCUUAUUUCUCAUCGAUAUUGACUGUAGAUUAAAAAAAAAUUUUUUUUUUUAAUGUUUAUUUAUUUUUGAGACAAUGUGAGACACAGAGUGCAAGCAGCGGAGGGACAGACAGAGGGAGACACAGAAUCCGAAGUGGGCUCCAGGCUCUGAGCUGUCAGCCCAGAGCCCGACGUGGGGCUCAGACUCAUGAACCAUGAGCUCAUGACCAGAGCUGAAGUCGGAUGCUCAACUGACUGAGCCACUCAGGCUCCCCUGACUAUAGAUUUUUGAAAGUGGUGACAGGUCCAUAGAUAACCAAUGUAUUAAAGCUUGUUUGGUGAAUCUUCAUCCUAAUGUUUUCUGGACAACCACACAUGGGUAUGCCCUGGGCCAUUCCUCAUUCCUUUGACUCAGACAGCUUUGUGGAGCUGUGCACAUCUGGACUUCCCGUCUCUUCAUGGCAAAUUUCCAGACUUUUGGCAUGCUUCUUGAAGCCUACUCCAUGGGUGUGCUUUUAAGUGCUGACAUUGUAUUAUCUGGUCACUACCUUGUUGAUGGCAGAAAGGCCCUUCUCACCAUCCUUCUUUGUAGGAGCCAUUCUGUCAGGCCCAGGCUGGGAAGCUGUCUCCCUUCUGGAUUGAAAUUAUUAAAUGGAUAGAUCGAUGAAGCUUGUAGCUGUGCCAGGAGUUUGUUACCGAGUUGAAAUAAAGUACAACUCAAGGUAGACAGAAGCCAGGAGUGCAUUGAAGGAAAAUCUUUCGUCAAGGAAAUUGAGAGUGGGAACAAUUCUUCCAUUGGUGGUAACACUGGCCUCUGAGUCUGCCAUCCAGAGAGCAGCUGCUGGAGGUGGCCCAUAGACCUGGCCACAGCAAGGUCAGUGGUGGUGGAGACCUGCUUGGAGGGACACAUCUGAGUCCUUUUCCCUUGCUGUGGUGGCCACAAGAGACACAUGCGGGGUGGGGGAGCUGGGCUAUCAUGAGCAGCCCUGAGAGCCUUUGGAUAUUUCUGGAGGGGAGCCCUGGGAAAGGAUGGAGCAAAUUUAUAGCUUUACUCUGGAGUAAAAGGAUCUGGGGUCUGGGGCCAUACUGAUUACACAUCUCUGGGCUGACCAUCUGAAAUUUAUAAUGUAGUCCAGACCUUGCUUCUGAGUGCCUACCUUAUAUUUCCUGCUAUGUAUUGGACACUCUGAUUCCUCUUCUUCGUGGCUUAGACCUGAUCCUGCUUCCGAGUCCCCCAGCUCAAUAUAUGGUACCUCUCAGCUCAGUUACCCAAGGCAGAAACUUUGGAUUACCUUAUUGCUUCCCUUUUUUGCCUUUGCCAUUUCUGAUCAACCAGUGAGUUUUAGUAAUUCUUCCUAUGUAAUUGGUAUGAACUCUCCACUUUAUUUUAUUUUAUUUUUAAGUUUUUUUAUGUUGAGAGAGAGAGGGCACAUGAGUCGGGGGAGGGGCAGAGAUAGAUGGAGAGAGAAUCCUAAGCAGGCUCUGCAUAGUCAGCACAGACCCUGACUUGGGGCUCAAUCUCAUGAGCUGUGAGAUCAUGACCUGAACUGAAACCAAAGUUGGGUGCUUAACUGACUGAGCCACCCAGGCACCCCACUACUUUUAUUUUUUUUUACUUUCACUGCCAGUACUCCGUUCAUUCCUACCUUCCCUGAAUUCAUUCUUACCAUAAAACUCUUUUCCUAUACUCACAACACUUCUGAUACUGAAUAUGUGGGUAGUUUUUGCAACACCAUGACCAAUUCUAAUGCCAACUGGGUGUCCUACAAUUCAUUUAUAUUCUAACACUAUCUAUCUGGAGUUAGUAUCAGAUCCCAUAGGUUAAGCAGCCAGUCCAGUCCCACAAGACUGCUACCGAUUCAGAUGCCAGUGAAAAAUCCAGAUACUCCUAUACUCUGACCUACUGGCUAUAAAUUGGGGGUUCCCAUGACCCACUCCUCAAGUUCAAUAAUCUGCAAGAACACAAGAAAACACUUUACUUACUAUUACUGGUCUAAUAUAAAGAAUACUCAGGAACAGCCAAGUGGAGGAGAUGCUUAGGGCAAGGUAUGUGGGAAGAGACAUGGAGUUUCAAUGCCCUCUGUAGGUGUACUACCCUCCCAGUACUUCAGUGUGUUCACCAACCCAGAAGCUUGCCCAACCCCAUUGUGUAGGAUUUUUAUGGAGAUUGCAAUUCAUAGGCAUGAUUGGAUAAGUCAUUGGUUAUUCGUGAUUAAACUCAAUCUCUAGCCCCCCUUCUCUCCCUGGAGGUGAAGAGGUGGGGUGGGCCUGAAAGUUCCAACACUCUAAUCACAUGGUUGUUUCCUCCAACCCCAUCCUGUGACUAUUUAAGUUUCCAUCAA